Molecule: long non-coding RNA, 2251 nt
Filed under: Gallus gallus (chicken)
Lineage: Eukaryota; Metazoa; Chordata; Aves; Galliformes; Phasianidae
Source: RNAcentral
GGGGAGGGCUCCGGGUCCCCCCCCUUUCCCUGAGGGGCAUUUUUGGGGGGCUUCAGAUCCCCCCCCCUCCUUGGGGGGCAUUUUUGGGUAACUGCAGCCCCCCCCUAUAGAUGGCACUGCCCCAUUCGGAGCCCCCCCCGCACCCCCACCCCCCCCGGCGCCGCUUUUCCCUUUGGGUUUUCCAGUUGUGCCUUAACCGGGGAGCAGCGCUCAGUGGGACAACAGUGGGACACCAAUGGGGCACCAAUGGGACCCCCCGUGUGACACCGAGGGGACACCAAUGGGACCCCAAUGGGACACCGGGACCCCCAGUGUGACACCAAUGGGACCCCAGUGAGACCCCCUGUGUGACACCAAGGGGACACCAAUGGGACACCAACGGGACCCCAGUGAGACCCCCAGUGUGACACCAAUGGGACCCCAAUGGGACCCCCCGUGUGACUCCAAUGGGACACCAACGGGACACCAAUGGGACACCGGGACCCCCAGUGUGACACCAAUGGGACCCCAGUGAGACCCCCAGUGUGACACCGAGGGGACACCGAGGGGACACCGGGACCCCCAGUGUGACUCCAAUGGGACACCAAUGGGACACCAAUGGGACUCCAAUGGGACACCAAUGGGACCCCCAGUGUGACACCAACGGGACCCCAAUGGGACCCCCCGUGUGACACCAACGGGACACCAAUGGGACACCAAUGGGACCCCCAGUGUGACACCGAGGGGACACCAGUGGGACCCCAGUGGGACACCGGGACCCCCAGUGUGACACCGAGGGGACACCAGUGGGACCCCAGUGGGACACCGGGACCCCCAGUGUGACACCAACGGGACACCAAUGGGACACCAAUGGGACCCAAAGUGUGACACCAAUGGGACACCAAUGGGACCCCCCGUGUGACACUGAGGGGACACCAAUGGGACCCCCAGUGUGACACCGAGAAGACACCAAUGGAACACCAAUGGGACCCAAAGUGUGACACCAAUGGGACACCAAUGGGACCCCAGUGUGACUCCAAUGGGACCCCCAGUGUGACACCAAGGGGACACCAAUGGGACACCGGGACCCAAAGUGUGACACCGAGAGGACCCCCAGUGUGACACAAAGGGGACUCCAAUGGGACACCGGGACCCCCACUGUGACACCGAGGGGACACCGAGGGGACACCGGGACCCCCACUGUGACACCAAUGGGACCCCAGUGAGACCCCCAGUGUGACUCCAAUGGGACCCCAGUGAGACCCCCAGUGUGACUCCAAUGGGACACCAACGGGACACCGGGACCGCCAGUGUGAUACCAGUGGGACCCCAGUGAGACCCCCAGUGUGACACCGAGGGGACACCGAGGGGACCCCAAUGGGACCCCAGUGUGACUCCAAGGGGACACCAAUGGUUCCCCCAGUGUGACACCGAGGAGACACCAAUGGAACACCAAGAAGACACCAAUGGGACCCCCAGUGUGACACCAGUGGGACACCAAUGGGACACCAAUGGGACACCAAUGGGACACUGGGACCCAAAGUGUGACACCGAGAGGACCCCCAGUGUGACACCAAUGGGACACCAAUGGGACACUGAGGGGACACCAAUGGGACCCACAGCGCCCCAAUGUGACACUGAGGGGACAGUGGGACCCCCAGCACUUUGAGGUGACCCCAAAGGGACCCCCAAUGUGACACUGAGGGGACACCAAUGGGACCCACUGUGCCCCAAUGUGACACUGGGGGAGCAGUGGGACCCCCGGCACUCUGAUGUGACCCCGAGGGGACCCCCAGUGUGACACUGAGGGGACCCACUGUGCCUCAAUGUGACCCCGAGGGGACCCCCAAUGUGACACUGUGGGGACAGUGGGACCCCCCAGCAGUUCGCGGUGACCCCGAGGGGACCCCCAAUGUGACACUGAGGGGACAGCGGGACCCACAGCGCCCCAAUGUGACACUGGGGGGACAGUGGGACCCCCACCACUCUGAUGUGACACUGAGGGGACCCCCAGUGUGACACUGAGGGGACAGUGGGACCCCCCACCACUUCGAGGUGACCCGGAGGGGACCCCCACCACUCUGAUGUGACCCCGAGGGGACCCCCGAUGUGACACUGAGGGGACAGUGGGACCCCCAGCACUCUGAUGUGACCCCGAGUGGCCCCACACGGCUCCAUGGGACCCCACUGUGGGGCAGUGGUGGUUAUGCGGGGGGGUCGGGGGCUGCUGCCCCCCCCCACAGCCGCCCCCUGCAGAGCUGUCCCCCCCCCC